UACGGAGGAUCCAAGCGUUAUCCGGAAUCAUUGGGUUUAAAGGGUGCGUAGGUGGUAUAAUAAGUCAGAGGUGAAAGCUAGCAGCUUAACUGUUAAAUUGCCUUUGAUACUGUUAUUCUUGAGUGUAGUUGGCGUUGGCGGAAUGUGACAUGUAGCGGUGAAAUGCGUAGAUAUGUCACAGAACACCGAUCGCGAAGGCAGCUAACGAAGCUAUCACUGACACUGAUGCACGAAAGCGUGGGGAGCAAACAGG
RNAcentral lists this ribosomal RNA (253 nucleotides) under uncultured bacterium. RNAcentral's name for it is "partial 16S ribosomal RNA". It matches the Rfam family "Bacterial small subunit ribosomal RNA", at positions 524 to 776 of the family's 1533-position model. The record is from RNAcentral.